CCACAGCCAAUUAAGCUGACCCAAGGCGCCCGGUAUGCAAUGACUGCAAACAGCAGCCUCCUGGGUAGUGUAUGUGGCCUAUUGCUUAUAGAGGCUGCCCUAAGGGUCGCUGGAGACAGCU
Molecule: small nucleolar RNA, 121 nt
Organism: Erinaceus europaeus (western European hedgehog)
Lineage: Eukaryota; Metazoa; Chordata; Mammalia; Eulipotyphla; Erinaceidae
Gene: SNORA70
Rfam family: Small nucleolar RNA SNORA70
About the family: snoRNA U70 seems to be exclusive to mammals and is a member of the H/ACA class of snoRNA which contain H (ANANNA) and ACA box motifs. H/ACA box snoRNAs are involved in the conversion of uridines to pseudouridines (5-ribosyluracil) a constituent of structural RNAs (transfer, ribosomal, small nuclear, and small nucleolar).
Source: Ensembl